UUCACGAAUAAAUUUAUAGGGUCCGAUGGUAACUAAAAUCUGUUAGCUGUUAGCUUUUUCGAAACAAUGCAAAGCUGUAAAAAAAACUAUACGAGAAAAUUAUAAAAAAA
This 110-nucleotide small RNA is filed under the name Arabidopsis thaliana (thale cress). Its description in RNAcentral is "ATSL170060". The record is from RNAcentral. Lineage: Eukaryota; Viridiplantae; Streptophyta; Magnoliopsida; Brassicales; Brassicaceae.